AACUUAAACCAUUGGAAUCUCAUGCUACUGAGUCGCAUUCGCUCUUCUCUCGAUGCUGUGUGGUGUGGUAAGUGGCGACGGAAAACUGGACUGCUGGCACAAACACAUUCACUUGUUGUUUUGAUUGGCUGCUGGCAGACUUUGGGUGAUUUUGCAGCUCAAGAAGUUUUCGCUGUACGAAAAUCAUAAUUACGUUGUUCAAUCGUACCAAAACAUCCCAUUUUCGGAGGUGCUGCUGCUGUUGGUGUCGACGGGUACCCUUCAUUGGAUGGUGGACUUAUUUUCUUCGAUGUUGUCGGAACCUUUGCUGUGCGAAAUUAUAAUCAAGAUGUUUUCCCAUAAAAUCAUCCGACUUCUGCAGGUGCUGCUGUACUGAUUGGCCAGUGUCGAUGAGUGCCCUCCGCUGGGUGGUGGUUUAUUUUUCUCGCUGAUGACGAACUUUGCUGGCUGGCAAACAGCAACGAAAAAACAUAGGCCGUGUCGAUUCUUGUUUAGGCGAUGAAAUGACUGUUUGAUUGGUGGAUGUUUUUCAUGGCCGGAAGCGGAAACCGAAGACCGUCGUUGAACCUUUCGAGCGUUGGGUGGAGCAUACAAUGUGUGUAUUUGGCCAAUUGUACAGCCUGUCGAUCUUCGACCAGAGGCUGAUGUUUUCUGUUGCUUCCAACGACCGGGGAUCUGUGUACCAACCUGUCGACAUUCGACCAGAGGUUGAUACGAUGGAUGAAGCAAACGUGAUCCAUUGCUCGUUUUGAUGACCAACACCGAAGAUUAACCCGUCGACCUUCGACCAGGGGUUGUGUUUUACUCGAUUAUGCGAUCAAAGUAUCAACCUGUCGAACUUCGACCAGAAGUUAAUACCUGAUCUAAAUUGAUGAAUAAAUGAAUGAAUAAUCAACUGAUGAAAACUUGUUGA
Uranotaenia lowii is the source of this 913-nucleotide long non-coding RNA. RefSeq lists it as uncharacterized. The record is from RefSeq and is a predicted model, not a curated record. The transcript has 4 exons. NCBI's taxonomy places the organism in Eukaryota, Metazoa, Arthropoda, Insecta, Diptera, Culicidae.